AAUUCACUGCUUUAUGUACAAGAACAAUAUCAGCUAGUGAUUACUUGCAUCUUUCAAGUGAAGCACAUGCUGAAAUUGCGUAGUGGAUUGCACCAUUGCACCGGAGUGGAGGAAGUUCCUUGGUUCCCUUUUCUUCAGCUAACACUAAUAUUGGCUUUGGAGCUGCUGUGAGGGGAGUGAUGACUGUGAACUAAGGGAAAAUAUUGCAGCUACAAUUCAGAAGUCUUGAUCCAGGUUCCCUGUGGUCUCCUACAAAGGCCUCCGUUUUCCUUGCAGUUCUCCCUCUUCACGUUCUGGACUCAUGGCACUGAGGGAUGCAGCAGAUCAGUAAACAAAGGUAACCACAGAGCUUAAAUCUCCAAAUAGCCACUCACUCUGCUUUGGACAGCAAGCACAUGAGUGGCUAUUUCUAGGUAGAAGCAUUUUUCAGCACUGAGUUUUAUGGGGUGAUGGCAGCUUUGAGGCCAAAAGACUGCCCAGUAGUUAUUUGCCUUCCAGAGUGCUGUAGCCAUGGAAGAGGACAAGGCUAGAGUCUGCCUUUACCAACCCAAUGACUUUACAGAACUUAUCCUAAAAGUUACAUGCAGAGAAAAUACAAAGGACUUGAUAUCCAGAAGGUUAACUUUCUGUUAAUUGAGCUGCCACUGGAAAAGUAGUUCCCAUUGAAGCUGGUCUUUUGUUGCCUGAUAAAUGUUGAAAGGAUCAGUAUAUACUUAGGUCAAUGGAAAAAAUAAGAUCUUGUGCUGGGAAAUGUGGGAAAACAAUACAUAUCUUUAAAAAGAAAAGAAAAAAGGAAAUAAAUGGAAAAAGAGAAAAAAGGAAGGUAAAGAAAAGGAAAGCAAAGCAAAGCAAAGAGACUUUCAGAGCAUAAGGGAAAGAAAUCCCCUGUUCUUUCCAAGUAUAUGGAACAUCAUAGCUGUUGUAAAUAGGCCAGUCCCAAAGAAAUCACACGUGUUCCAAAUGGGAAGAGAUUAUUUGCUGCAUCAUUUUAGCAUGUUUGAUUUAUCAGUAACUAAUGGAAAAUUGACAGGGGCUUUGAACAAAGUAAUUCAAUGUGUCAAAGCUCAAAAUUUGGCAUCAAAUAUGUUUUACUUAUGGUAUAUUCACAUGGUGAGAGUAUAGGUAUUAAUGAACUCCAUUCUAAUUCUUCUUUGUAAGCUGCAUUGUUAAUAUACUGUUAGUAACCAUAGGGUUUAAAGCAAUUAGGACAAAGAGUAGGACAAGGAGAAAGAAGACAUUUGAAUAUUGCACCAUUCAGAGCAAGAACUUAGAGACUGAACAGAAUUGCCUCUAUUUAGUGAUGAGUUUGGUAUCCUCAUUCAGGUUUUUAGAUAAUUUGGGGGAUAGACUCUUUUCUUAUGCAGUCCUAGUGACCAGAUGAUGAUUGGUGGUAUUUGCUAAGCGUGGAAGUUUUAAACUUGUCUUGGUGAAGGAGUGGGGUUUAUGAGACCAACUGUUAUGCCUACAUUCUCUCAGUCACCCCAAGCAGUGUUGAAUAUUUUGUCCAGAUUCAGUCAAAAUUGGGAGUAGUUAAAGCCCUCUUUCUACUGAGUUUCUAGUUUCUUAUAGUGUUGUCUUAAAUAUUUUCCUAAAACAUUGCCUGGAUAGAAAACCCAGGUUCAAAUUAACCCCUUCUUGUGGGAAAGGCAGUCUGAAUUCAACCACUGUUUUAUUUUGUUUGGCAGCUGUGAACCAGUCAGCAGGUGCAUCCUCUGACAAGUCAGCAAACAGCUCCCUGGUAGACUCUCAUUUAGGAAAUAGGAAGGGAGGGCUCUUACAGCAGGUAUGGUGUAGGGAACAAGGGACGUUUUCUGUAGGGAACCAAGUAAAUCUAUUCUGGUGCUUACACUACAAUAUGCUUUUCAGUUCUGUUCUGUGUUAGCCAUGCCCACUGAUAUCAACGGGAGUUGUAUUGUGGGUUGAAAGGAUAACAGCACAAGGACAGUGAUGUACAAUCUUGAAAAGCCUCUGUGUCCAGAGAGAGCUCCCUGAAUGCUCUCACUAAUGACUCCUUACAGAACUUACAGAAUGAAAUCCUAGUACUGCUCCUGCCAAGGUCAUGGAGACAGCUUAUGAGAACAGAUUGAAGUUUUCAUUGUGUCAGGGUCUGGAUGUUAUUGUAUUUGGGAAAACACUUAAUAGCAAUACUUUUGCAGCUCUUUCUCUGUCUGUUGAUUUUUCCAGUGAUUGUGUGUUAAUUAUUCAGUUCCAACAAGUGAAUGAAGAAAUGGAAACGUCCAAGGGUAGUCUGAAUCAUUUGUUUCAGAGAGUUGAAUAUGUUGCUUUUCAUUGCCAACAGCUUGGUGACUCCCAGGGAGCUGAUGAGUAGAUGCAACCUUAUUGCCUAGGGUUUUGAAUUGUCCAGAGAGACUCAGAAAUGUGCUUAUAUUGUGAAAACAAAACAAAAUUAGUCACCUUUUCAUGCCAAUUAACUUAAUCUUAACUUGCACAGUGAUUUCUGUGCACGUAGCAGAUAAUUGCAUACAUUGUUCAGCAGUGUAGGAACUUUGUAUAUAAACUUCUGUCUUUCUCUGUGUGACUAAAAUGAGACCAGUUCUGCUGGCUUGAAAUAAGGAGUCUGCAAAAGAGGUAUCAGGAAGAGAUUUAGAUUUGGUCAGACAACUUAC
Phasianus colchicus (ring-necked pheasant) is the source of this 2627-nucleotide non-coding RNA. Lineage: Eukaryota; Metazoa; Chordata; Aves; Galliformes; Phasianidae. The record is from RefSeq and is a predicted model, not a curated record.